GGUUGUGGCUCAAUGGUAGAGCACUUGCUAUCAUGCAGGAGGCACUGGGUUCCAUCCCUGGCACCA
This 66-nucleotide transfer RNA is filed under the name Marmota monax (woodchuck). RNAcentral describes it as "tRNA.Undet". Lineage: Eukaryota; Metazoa; Chordata; Mammalia; Rodentia; Sciuridae. The record is from RNAcentral.